AUCCAGCUGACGAGUCUUAAAUAGGACGAAAUGCGUAUCCUGGAU
RNAcentral lists this non-coding RNA (45 nucleotides) under Schistosoma mansoni. Lineage: Eukaryota; Metazoa; Platyhelminthes; Trematoda; Strigeidida; Schistosomatidae. The record is from RNAcentral.